Molecule: ribosomal RNA, 443 nt
Filed under: uncultured bacterium
Lineage: Bacteria
Description: bacterial SSU rRNA
Rfam family: Bacterial small subunit ribosomal RNA
Source: RNAcentral
GCUAAACGCGAAGAACCUUACCAGGCCUUGACAUACCGAUUACGGGGAUCAGAGAUGAACCCUUUCAGUUCGGCUGGAUCGGAUACAGGUGCUGCAUGGCUGUCGUCAGCUCGUGCCGUGAGGUGUUGGGUUAAGUCCCGCAACGAGCGCAACCCUCGUCUAUAGUUGCCAUCAGGUUAUGCUGGGCACUCUAUAGAGACUGCCGGUGACAAGCCGGAGGAGGGUGGGGAUGACGUCAAGUCCUCAUGGCCCUUACAUCCAGGGCUACACACGUACUACAAUGGCCAGUACAGAAGGUUGCAAGACCGCAAGGUGGAGCUAAUCCCCAAAACUGGCCUCAGUUCAGAUUGGAGUCUGCAACUCGACUCCAUGAAGGCGGAAUCGCUAGUAAUCGCUGAUCAGCAGGCAGCGGUGAAUACGUUCCCCGGGUCUUGUACACACCG